GCACCCAUAGCUCAAUUGGAUAGAGUACUUGACUACGAAUCAAGCGGUUAGAGGUUCGACUCCUCUUGGGUGCG
RNAcentral lists this transfer RNA (74 nucleotides) under Alloiococcus otitis. RNAcentral's name for it is "tRNA-Arg(acg)". It matches the Rfam family "tRNA". From Rfam's summary of the family: Transfer RNA (tRNA) molecules are approximately 80 nucleotides in length. Their secondary structure includes four short double-helical elements and three loops (D, anti-codon, and T loops). RNAcentral also lists the same sequence under 6 other names. Lineage: Bacteria; Bacillati; Bacillota; Bacilli; Lactobacillales; Carnobacteriaceae. The record is from RNAcentral.